Molecule: unclassified non-coding RNA, 279 nt
Filed under: plant metagenome
Description: partial contains small subunit ribosomal RNA, internal transcribed spacer 1, and 5.8S ribosomal RNA
Source: RNAcentral
UCUCCGUAGGUGAACCUGCGGAGGGAUCAUUACAGAGUUCCUACCCUCGCUAGUAGAUCUCCCACCCUGUGUUAUUGCUACCUUUGUUGCUUUGGCGGACCGCCCUCGCCGACCGGCCCCGGCUCGUACGCCCCCCCCAGAGGACCCCAAACCCUGAACGCCAGUGUCGGCUGUGUACUUUACAAAAGUUAAAACUUUCAACAACGGAUCUCUUGGUUCUGGCUUCGAUGAAAAACGCACCAGAUCGAAAGAGCAAACGCCUGAACUCCAGUCCCUCUU